AGCAGGGCGUAUCUUGGAUUAAGUACAAUGUUGGUUCAUGCUAAUGAAUAAACAUGUCAAUAGUCUCCCCCCUAUUGGUUUUAUUUGUUUUUUAAAUAAUAAAAAAGCUCUAUUAGAAGCACAACAAUUUCUUAUUCACCAUAGCAACCUGUUUUAUUUCUGUCCAGUACCAGUUCUUCGUGUGGAGCUUUGGGUUAUUUAAGACUAACAGUCUAACAGUCUUAAAUAACCUAAUAACCCAAACAAUCAAUAAUGUUUGUUCCUUACUACUACUCCAAAUUCAGAUUUUACAAUUCAAAGGUCACGGUUUGGGUUCAUGUCCUGUCUUAUUUUGUUGUUUUCUGCUUCUUGUCUCCCUGGGUAACUUCACUUCCUGCCUUGUCCUGUCAUGCCCUGUGAUUGUCUGAUUGUUUCCACCUGUGUCCAAUCACCUGUAUUUAAGUCAUGUGUGUCUCUUGUCACAUUUCGCGUCAUUGUUGGUUUUUCUGGAAGUUCAAUACUGAACGUCUUGUGAGUUCCUGCUCGUGUUUUGAAUUUGACGAUUAAAGUCUUUUGGUUUGAGCUCUGCGCUUGGGUCCUACCUUUCCCGCUUCCUGACAAUCAAGUCGUCUAGUCUUCACAACACUAGUUGUGUUGUAUAUUUACAGGAAAUUGAGACAAAACAUUAUGAAGGUCAUGUAUUUCAUGUUGCAUUUUAUUCCUAGUAACAAUCUGCUCUGUCUGCAUUUCCUUAAUGUGUCGAUUGCAUUAUGGAACAAUUAAACAAAGGAAUGAGUCUUUUGAUGCAUACUAGCCGUAUUGUAUAGCUUCACAAUACAUAUGUAGGUUGCCAUGGAAAUGCCCAAUAUAGGUUCGGGUAAAACCCAGCGAGAGUACGGACAAGAAUAAAUCAAAGCACACAUUGAAUUUACAGUGAAUUCCCAGAUAAGGACAGAGGAUAAGGGCAGUAACAAAUACAUCACACAAGUAUCCCAAUCAGAAGAGACCGGACUAUAAGAAAAACGCAUUAUUUAACAAAACAAACAAUGAUAUCAAUCCACAACCAGGGGGCGGAAGGUCUUCCACUAAAAUGUCACUAAAUCACAGCCGAGAUCUAUCUCCACAAUCACAGAUCACACAAAGAUUACGGCUGCAGACCUUUCACACAAUUACGGUCUGCUGGCACAGGUCAGAGCUCUGUCAGGUCCUUUAUCUCCAGGCCGGAUGGGUAAUUGGAAGCACCUGAUUAACGAGGGUUCCUCCGGAGAAACGGGAAAGAGAGACAAACCCACGCAGCGAGGAACAUAUCUACGCUCUAAAAGAGGAUCCGCUCUUUCUACUGGGGGGGGGGGCUCUGGGGUUUUAAGCAGCACCAGCCUUGGACUAAUUUGAUUCCACCAAUUUCUAAAUCUAACAGUAACAUAUGUAUUUGGGUUUUUCUCAGGAGAAUCUCAUCUGCUCUUAUUGAAAGUCGCUUUGGAUAAAAGCGUCAGCUAAAUGAAAAAUGUAGAUUUGAAUGUAUGCAUAAUUUCCUGGAACAGCAUCUGUCUCUGAUGAAGUCUUUUGUUCUAUUUGUGAGAUGUGGAACGAUGUUAUUGAGUUAAACGCACGUUUGAGACUGCUCUAUUAAAAGCCAGUGAAUCAGCGGUGUAAGAGAGAGUGUUUUGCUGGUGGCUGUGCUGUUUUCGUUGUCGAGAAGAAAAGCCAAAAUAGAAGGGCCUUGAAGCACAUUUAGGAGAUUGUCUUGAUAGGAUAAGUGCAAGAUAUAUUACUGCUGAGCUGAAAGGUUUGGCCCUCAUGGAGCGUCCACGAACUGCGGAACUGCUGCCAACGUGUGAGAAAAGAGAGGAUAAAUAAGGUUGAUCAACACGCACAGAUGCGUGACUGGUGUAAAGUCUAAAUCAGAUGAUCAACAGACGAUGCGACCACCACAACAACGGAACAAAAAAUGGUAAAAGUAUGAAAAUAUAAAGCGGUAUAUGUGUCCCUGAACUUUACCACCUCUGGGGUCGGCCAAGAAGAGAGACCCAGCAGAGAUGUUUGCACUUGUUGUUUGUACAGAACCGAUUUUUUUAUCCAAUUCAUCGAUUAUCCAAAUAAUCGUUAGUUGCACCCCUAAUGCUAUCACCAUGUAAUUAUAUCAUUUGUAAAACGUGGGGUGAUGAAGCAAUAUGAAAGUGCAGCAGUAAAAAUAUUAUUUGCUAUUUCUUUAUUUGUUGCUUUAGUCUAUUUUUUCUAAAAGUCAUUUUUAUAUCAUAUAUCAUCAUUAAGGUAUUAUAAGGGUAGGAUUAAAAAGAAAUAUAAAUGAUGCUGUAAUAAUCUCCCUACAGACGUAAUAAUCUCUUUAUGGAAAGAAAUCAUAAUUUGGUUAAUGUGAAAGAAUCACUUUUUAAGAAUCUUCUUUUUGUUCUUAAAAGGUAGUUUAAUUGAGAACUCAUGGUAGUUCCCCUGAUUUCAACAUUUGUCACGUGUGUCAAGUAUAAAGAAGCCAGCAUGGAUGUACGCUACCAACAUCCACACGCACACACACACACACACAGCGCAGAUUCUCGCCUCGUCCUCUUGAGACAGCUAAUGGAGGGUUUUAGAGAGCGAGUGUGUUGUCACAUCCCCCUCUGGUCUGUCUUCGUCACUCACAACCUCUGCAGCCAGGCAGCAUUCACGGCCAGUGUUUAAAUGAUGCAGGUCGUGCACGGAGCAUGCUGAAAGUCAACACGGGGUCAAUACAAAGAAAAUUAGUGUUCCAGCCCUACUUGUUUGCUCUAAUGGCCUUUUGACAUUAAUCACUCGAUGUCACAGUAUGUGUGCAUCAUCAGACAAAUAUUUCUUUUAGCCUACAGUGAAUGCCACUUUCCACAGGCAGCAUCAGUAAGGGGAAACAUGAUGAGCGUUAAGAGGCAGCUCUCUUCAGAACGAGCAUUUACCCAAUAAAUGAUAUGACUUGGUUCGGAUCACUUUUGAUCCGAACAACUACUUCUAUUUUCAAAUACAUAUAUUAACUACCAGCACCUGCUCAAACAGUAAAUCAGCUAACAGCAUUUUCCAAGAUGUAAAUCAAAUAUUGGAACUUUUAAAGACCCACAGCAAGUAGGAACCAAUGGGUUGUCUCAGUGAUGCAAUGCAUUUUUAUAUUUAGGCACCAUGAUGCAUCUCUGUUCUGUUCUGUUUCCAUACCUGUUUCUGUUGGAAGACUUGGCCAUAUUAUGUUGUGUAGAGCUGCCAGGACAGUGUCAAUGUGUUCAAAAGACAACUGCCUAUUUACACUUUAAAUUAAAAACAGCCUACAGCCUUUCCAUCCUUAUAAAUGUUCUUCAUAAUUCCUAAGUGGCCAUGCAUGCACUCAUUUUAUUAUUAAAUAGCAGGUAGCACAUUUCAGACACUGUUAUUUGUUGUUGAUUUAUUUAGUCCUGGUCUCUUAAAAAUUGAGUUCCUAUUCAUCAAACUAUCCCUAAUAAUUAAUUUAAGGUAAAAGUAUUUAUCUCACAUUUUUUAUUAAUUUGUUUUACUUCUUUUAUUUAACUGUGCCCUGAGGAAGUGUGAAUAGGGAGGACGUUGGUAUGUAAAGAAGGGUCAUAAAGACAGGCAGAUGAGUUUUUACUGGUAGACCUCUGUCUGCAUUCCCAAUGAGGAUGGAAAGUUAAUCCCACGUGUCUUUGAAAGCUUAGGAUGUAAAUGAAAUGAGACAGCCUUUCCUGUGGUCCAACACACUGCAGACCACAUUAAGGAUAUUCACUUCACUAGCGAGGACCACACAACCAAACAGAAGCACUUAAUAUAUUUAUUGAAGGUGACUUGUUUGAGAUGCAAGGUUUGAAGCUUGUGUAGCUGAUUCUGUUCACCUUAUAAGUUAUGAGGAACCUCAAUAAGAAAUCCGCUGGAACACCUGGGCAUGUUGAACCCGCCCCCCAGGACCAUACGUAAAGGAGCGAAGAAGAAAGGAAGAGAGAAAAUGGAAAGGUAGGGAGAGAGUCCCACUGAAUACGAGCCAAAAGGAGGAGUUGGUGCAUAACAAAGGACAAUGGACAACAAGACAGGUCUUGGUCCCAAUGGCCCUCAGCCUCCUGCCAGAUGGAAGAGGCACAACUAGAUUUUGUCCGGGUUAAGAGGGAUCAGAUACAAUCUUUUUAGCUCGCUUCAGGGUCCAGGAGGGACAGCAGAUUGCAGCCGAUCACCCUCUCUGCAGAGCGGAAGACACGCUGCAGCCUUCAAUUGUCCUUGGCUGUGGCUGCAGCGUACCAGGCGGUGAUGGAGGACCAGAGGAUGGACUCUACAUGAUGGCCGUGUAGAAGUGCACCAUCAUCGUCUUUGGCAGAUUAGUGAUGUUUUGAAAGCAGAGCUGAAGUGCACAAACAGGAUCCUGGCGUAGGUUCCUGGGGAGUCCAGAUGCUGGAGGAUGUAGUGGAGGGCCAUGUUGACAGCAUCGUCCAUGCCCCUGUUGGCUCUGUAGGCGAACUGCAGGGGGUCCAGGAGGGGGUCGGUGAGGGACUUCAGGUGGGACAGGACUAGCCGUUCAAAAGACUUCAUGACUACAGAGGUCAGGGCGACGGGCCUGUAGUCAUUGCAGUAAGUCCUGUGAUCAGGCUGGUAGGGGGCAAGUCUCCAGGUGUUGAAGAUGUCAGUGAACACAGGAGACAGCAGAUCAGCACAAUG
Gasterosteus aculeatus aculeatus (three-spined stickleback) is the source of this 4629-nucleotide long non-coding RNA. Lineage: Eukaryota; Metazoa; Chordata; Actinopteri; Perciformes; Gasterosteidae. The record is from Ensembl.